AUCUAUCUCUGUAAUUCAAGCAGUUCAUGAGCAAAGCAAAAUAGAAUUUUUGAUGAAAUUGCAACCUGAAUUUGAGAGUGUGCACUCUAACUUGAUGAAUCGAGACCCGUCUCCCUCUUUGGAUAUCUGUUUUAGGGAAUUACUUCGUGAAGUGUAACAUCUUUUCACACAAAAUGCUUUCAAGCAAGAAAACAUUCUGACUGCUGCAGUUGCUGCUCAAGGAAAAAGAAAGGUUAGGGAUAUGAGCAGAAUUUGAUGCUACAAUUGCAAACAAUAUGGCCAUAUUGUGAGUAAUUGAGGAACUAACAACCAAUUUGCUACUCUGGACAAGUUCUUACUCCUGAAAUGGUACAACAAAUGAUUGUGUCAGCCUUUUCAGCCGUAGGGCUACAAGCUUGUUGAUUAUGACGCUUCCAAUCAUAUGACCAACUCAACUAGUGAGCUGAAAAAUGUUCGAUUAAGUGUCGGAGAAGAUAAUCGCGAAGGAGCCUAAAGUUGGAAGAUUGUUUCCUAUACACUUUUCCAUUCCUCGUGUUCUAUCUUUUGUGUGUACUCCUACAACUAGUAGAUGAAGGUUUGGCGUAGGCGUCUAGGACAUCCUAAUUCUAUUGUGUUAUCUCAUUUAUCAAAUUUUGGUCUAUUAGGAAAUAAAAAUCAAUUUUUAGUUGCU
Long non-coding RNA from Capsicum annuum, 670 nucleotides. RefSeq lists it as uncharacterized. The record is from RefSeq and is a predicted model, not a curated record. Lineage: Eukaryota; Viridiplantae; Streptophyta; Magnoliopsida; Solanales; Solanaceae. The transcript is spliced from 4 exons.